UGUGUAGGCGGUUCUUUAAGUUUGGUGUGAAAUCUCCCGGCUCAACCGGGAGGGUGCGCCGAAUACUGAGGGACUAGAGUACGGGAGAGGAAAGUGGAAUUCCUGGUGUAGCGGUGAAAUGCGUAGAUAUCAGGAGGAACACCGGUGGUGUAGACGGCUUUCUGGACCGUAACUGACGCUGAGACACGAAAGCGUGGGUAGCAAACAA
This 208-nucleotide ribosomal RNA is filed under the name uncultured bacterium. Its description in RNAcentral is "partial 16S ribosomal RNA". It matches the Rfam family "Bacterial small subunit ribosomal RNA", at positions 568 to 775 of the family's 1533-position model. The record is from RNAcentral.